This 67-nucleotide transfer RNA is filed under the name Agrilus mali. RNAcentral describes it as "tRNA-Ala". Lineage: Eukaryota; Metazoa; Arthropoda; Insecta; Coleoptera; Buprestidae. The record is from RNAcentral.
AGGAUUAUAGUUAUUAAUAACAUCUAAUUUGCAUUUAGAAGGUGCUAAUAUAGUUUAGCUUAUCUUA